This 503-nucleotide ribosomal RNA is filed under the name uncultured bacterium. RNAcentral's name for it is "partial 16S ribosomal RNA". It matches the Rfam family "Bacterial small subunit ribosomal RNA", at positions 30 to 523 of the family's 1533-position model. The record is from RNAcentral.
AUUGAACGCUGGCGGCAGGCUUAACACAUGCAAGUCGAGCGGGGUGAUGGUGCUUGCACUAUCACUUAGCGGCGGACGGGUGAGUAAUGCUUAGGAAUCUGCCUAUUAGUGGGGGACAACAUCUCGAAAGGGAUGCUAAUACCGCAUACGUCCUACGGGAGAAAGCAGGGGAUCACUUGUGACCUUGCGCUAAUAGAUGAGCCUAAGUCGGAUUAGCUAGUUGGUGGGGUAAAGGCCUACCAAGGCGACGAUCUGUAGCGGGGCUGAGAGGAUGAUCCGCCAAACUGGGACUGAGACACGGCCCAGACUCCUACGGGAGGCAGCAGUGGGGAAUAUUGGACAAUGGGGGGAACCCUGAUCCAGCCAUGCCGCGUGUGUGAAGAAGGCCUUAUGGUUGUAAAGCACUUUAAGCGAGGAGGAGGCUCUUUUGGUUAAUACCCAAGAUGAGUGGACGUUACUCGCAGAAUAAGCACCGGCUAACUCUGUGCCAGCCGCCGCGGUAA